UACGGAGGGUGCAAGCGUUAAUCGGAAUCACUGGGCGUAAAGCGCACGUAGGCGGUCUGGUAAGUCAGACGUGAAAGCCCUCGGCUUAACCGAGGAACUGCGUUUGAAACUGCUGGACUUGAGUGCCGGAGAGGGUGGCGGAAUUCCAGGUGUAGGAGUGAAAUCCGUAGAUAUCUGGAGGAACACCGGUGGCGAAGGCGGCCACCUGGACGGCAACUGACGCUGAGGUGCGAAAGCGUGGGGAGCAAACAGGAUUAGAAACCCCAGUAGUCC
RNAcentral lists this ribosomal RNA (273 nucleotides) under uncultured bacterium. RNAcentral's name for it is "partial 16S ribosomal RNA". It matches the Rfam family "Bacterial small subunit ribosomal RNA", at positions 524 to 796 of the family's 1533-position model. The record is from RNAcentral.